Molecule: ribosomal RNA, 519 nt
Filed under: Theileria velifera
Lineage: Eukaryota; Apicomplexa; Aconoidasida; Piroplasmida; Theileriidae
Description: SSU rRNA
Rfam family: Eukaryotic small subunit ribosomal RNA
Source: RNAcentral
UUUUUGAGGUAGUGGACAAGAAAUAACAAUACGGGGCUUAAUGUCUUUGUAAAUUGGAAUGAUGGGAAUUUAAACCUCUUCCAGAGUAUCAAUUGGAGGGCAAGUCUGGUGCCAGCAGCCGCGGUAAUUCCAGCUCCAAUAGCGUAUAUUAAAAUUGUUGCAGUUAAAAAGCUCGUAGUUGAAUUUCUGCUACAUUGCCUAUUCUCCUUUACGAGUUUGGGUCUUUUGUGGCUUAUCUGGGUUCGCUUGCGUUCCCGGUGUUUUACUUUGAGAAAAUUAGAGUGCUCAAAGCAGGCUUUUGCCUUGAAUAGUUUAGCAUGGAAUAAUAAAGUAGGACUUUGGUUCUAUUUUGUUGGUUUUAGGUACCAAAGUAAUGGUUAAUAGGAACAGUUGGGGGCAUUCGUAUUUAACUGUCAGAGGUGAAAUUCUUAGAUUUGUUAAAGACCGAACUACUGCGAAAGCAUUUGCCCAAAGGAUGUUUUCAUUAAUCAAGAACAAAAAGUUAGGGGAUCGAAGACG